GUGGUCUCCAACCCAGUCCUCAAGGACCACCAGCAGUCCAGAAUUUAUGUAUUUACCUGUUUUGUUCCUAUGGAGAUACUGACAAUACCUGGACUGUUGGUGGUCCAUGAGGACUGGAUUGGGGACCA
This is a non-coding RNA of Pelobates cultripes (western spadefoot toad), 128 nucleotides long. Lineage: Eukaryota; Metazoa; Chordata; Amphibia; Anura; Pelobatidae. The record is from the annotation of a GenBank genome assembly.